This 465-nucleotide ribosomal RNA is filed under the name uncultured Klebsiella sp. RNAcentral describes it as "bacterial SSU rRNA". It matches the Rfam family "Bacterial small subunit ribosomal RNA", at positions 338 to 795 of the family's 1533-position model. The record is from RNAcentral. Lineage: Bacteria; Pseudomonadati; Pseudomonadota; Gammaproteobacteria; Enterobacterales; Enterobacteriaceae.
ACUACGGGUGGCAGCAGUGGGGAAUAUUGCACAAUGGGCGCAAGCCUGAUGCAGCCAUGCCGCGUGUGUGAAGAAGGCCUUCGGGUUGUAAAGCACUUUCAGCGGGGAGGAAGGCGGUGAGGUUAAUAACCUCAUCGAUUGACGUUACCCGCAGAAGAAGCACCGGCUAACUCCGUGCCAGCAGCCGCGGUAAUACGGAGGGUGCAAGCGUUAAUCGGAAUUACUGGGCGUAAAGCGCACGCAGGCGGUCUGUCAAGUCGGAUGUGAAAUCCCCGGGCACAACCUGGGAACUGCAUUCGAAACUGGCAGGCUAGAGUCUUGUAGAGGGGGGUAGAAUUCCAGGUGUAGCGGUGAAAUGCGUAGAGAUCUGGAGGAAUACCGGUGGCGAAGGCGGCCCCCUGGACAAAGACUGACGCUCAGGUGCGAAAGCGUGGGGAGCAAACAGGAUUAGAUACCCGUGUAGUC